This 398-nucleotide ribosomal RNA is filed under the name uncultured bacterium. RNAcentral describes it as "partial 16S ribosomal RNA". It matches the Rfam family "Bacterial small subunit ribosomal RNA", at positions 523 to 918 of the family's 1533-position model. The record is from RNAcentral.
AUAAGUAGGGUGCGAGCGUUGUCCGGAAUUACUGGGCGUAAAGAGCUCGUAGGUGGUUUGUCGCGUCGUCUGUGAAAUUCCGGGGCUUAACUCCGGGCGUGCAGGCGAUACGGGCGUACCUUGAGUACUGUAGGGGAGACUGGAAUUCCUGGUGUAGCGGUGAAAUGCGCCGAUAUCAGGAGGAACACCGGUGGCUAAGGCGGGUCUCGCGGCAGUACGUGCAUUGUAUGAGUUAUAUCAUGUGUAGCAAACUCGCUUAGUCCCCUGGUCAGUCCCUGCCGUACCCGGGGGUCUCGAGUCGGAGUGGUUGUCCACGAUUGGUGUGCUGUAGGUAACGUAAUAACGGCCCCGCCUGGGCAGUACGGCCUCAAGGCUGAAUCUCAAAUUCAUUGACCGGG